This 696-nucleotide ribosomal RNA is filed under the name Triticum aestivum (bread wheat). RNAcentral's name for it is "partial small subunit ribosomal RNA". The record is from RNAcentral. Lineage: Eukaryota; Viridiplantae; Streptophyta; Magnoliopsida; Poales; Poaceae.
AUGGCCGAUGUAAGUGCAGAGUGUAUGGCUGAGUACGACGGCAUUGUCAGCAGGAUGUUUGAUAGCGAGGAAGAGGGUUUUGAGUUCUAUAACAAGUAUGCUCUUGAGAAAGGCUUUAGUGUGAGGAAAGGAUAUGUUGAGUGGGAUGAAGCGAACGAGAAGAUAAUUCUGAGGAAACUUGUCUGUAGUCGUGAAGGUUGCCGUGAAGAGAAACACAUGAAGAGGAAGAGAGAAGAUAGGAAGAGGAAGCCACGGAAUAUCACUCGUGUGGGGUGUAAAGCGAAAUUUGUCAUUGCAAGAGUCGUGAAAACAGGGCGGUGGUUUGUGAAAGAUUUCAUCGAUGAACACAACCAUCCUCUGGCCCCACGAGACCUUUCUUGCUUUCUGCGUUCCCACAGAAGAAUCAGCGACGAGAAGAAAGCGGACAUUAUAGAGAUGGAAAGUGUUGGAAUCAAGAAACACAAAAUCAUGGAUGUGUUGUGCAUGCAGUACGGUGGAUAUGACCAUGUUGGAUGCACGACGAGGGACAUCUAUAACUUCUGCCAUCGCUACAAGCAGGAAACGGUCGCUGCCGGUGAUGCUCAGACGGUGAUCCGUCACAUGAUGGCGCGGCAAGAGAGAGACCCAGAUUAUUUCUUCAAAUACUUGGUUGAUAAAGCUGGGCAUCUGAAGGGAUUGUUCUGGUCCGAUACUUAA